AAAUAGUUGCUGCUGAAUAUUUGGGAUCAGAAAUUAGAGAGCCACCUUGGCUUAACUAUGAGAUGAAUUGGGGUCCAAGGGAAGGGCCUAAAGGUCCAAAACAAAAGGAUUUUUGGAAAGGAGACGAACGGUGAGUCGUUCUUAUGAUGUUUUUCACCCGUGAUUGACCUUUUGUUUAAUAUUCAAGUCUGGCUUGGUUGUGUAUUUUUUUUUCUUAUUGUUUUUGUAUACCCUAUUA
RNAcentral lists this microRNA precursor (238 nucleotides) under Medicago truncatula (barrel medic). RNAcentral's name for it is "miR2643 stem-loop (mtr-MIR2643a)". Lineage: Eukaryota; Viridiplantae; Streptophyta; Magnoliopsida; Fabales; Fabaceae. The record is from miRBase by way of RNAcentral.